GAUGAACGCUAGCGGCAGGCUUAAUACAUGCAAGUCAAGGGGGUAGCAAUACAACCGGCGCACGGGUGAGUAACGCGUACACAACAUACCAUAUACUGGGGUAUAGCUUCGGGAAACUGAAGGUAAUCCCCCAUAAUAUUGCGGGAAGGCAUCUUUCUGCAAUUAAAGUUUCGACGGUAUAUGAUUGGUGUGCGUUUGAUUAGCUAGUUGGUAGGGUAACGGCCUACCAAGGCGACGAUCAAUAGCUGGCGUGAGAGCGCGACCAGCCACACUGGAACUGAGACACGGUCCAGACUCCUACGGGAGGCAGCAGUAGGGAAUAUUGGACAAUGGGCGAAAGCCUGAUCCAGCCAUGCCGCGUGAUAGAUGAAGGCCCUCUGGGUUGUAAAUAUCUUUUUAAUCUUGGGAAGAAACUCCUCUAUUCUUAGAGGCCUGACGGUACCAGAGGAAUAAGCACCGGCUAACUCCGUGCCAGCAGCCGCGGUAAUGUCAGUG
RNAcentral lists this ribosomal RNA (495 nucleotides) under uncultured bacterium. RNAcentral's name for it is "bacterial SSU rRNA". It matches the Rfam family "Bacterial small subunit ribosomal RNA", at positions 28 to 530 of the family's 1533-position model. The record is from RNAcentral.